This 301-nucleotide ribosomal RNA is filed under the name uncultured bacterium. RNAcentral's name for it is "partial 16S ribosomal RNA". It matches the Rfam family "Bacterial small subunit ribosomal RNA", at positions 509 to 807 of the family's 1533-position model. The record is from RNAcentral.
CAGUCGCCACGGGAAUACAGAGGGUGCGAGCGUUAAUCGGAUUUACUGGGCAUAAAGCGUGCGUAGGCGGCUUCUUAAGUCGGAUGUGAAAUCCCUGAGCUUAACUUAGGAAUUGCAUUCGAUACUGGGAAGCUAGAGUAUGGGAGAGGAUGGUAGAAUUCCAGGUGUAGCGGUGAAAUGCGUAGAGAUCUGGAGGAAUACCGAUGGCGAAGGCAGCCAUCUGGCCUAAUACUGACGCUGAGGUACGAAAGCAUGGGGAGCAAACAGGAUUAGAUACCCCUGUAGUCCCUGUCUCUUAUAC